UACGUAGGUGGCGAGCGUUGUCCGGAAUUACUGGGUGUAAAGGGCGUGUAGGCGGGACUGUAAGUCAGAUGUGAAAUUCCAGGGCUUAACUCUGGCGCUGCAUCUGAAACUAUGGUUCUUGAGUGUCGGAGAGGAAAGCGGAAUUCCUAGUGUAGCGGUGAAAUGCGUAGAUAUUAGGAGGAACACCAGUGGCGAAGGCGGCUUUCUGGACGAUAACUGACGCUGAGGCGCGAAAGCAUGGGUAGCGAACAGG
RNAcentral lists this ribosomal RNA (253 nucleotides) under uncultured bacterium. RNAcentral describes it as "partial 16S ribosomal RNA". It matches the Rfam family "Bacterial small subunit ribosomal RNA", at positions 524 to 776 of the family's 1533-position model. The record is from RNAcentral.